RNAcentral lists this ribosomal RNA (519 nucleotides) under uncultured bacterium. RNAcentral's name for it is "bacterial SSU rRNA". It matches the Rfam family "Bacterial small subunit ribosomal RNA", at positions 8 to 518 of the family's 1533-position model. The record is from RNAcentral.
AGGGUUCGAUUCUGGCUCAGGAUGAACGCUAGCUACAGGCUUAACACAUGCAAGUCGAGGGGCAGCAUGUGGUGCUUGCAACCAAUGAUGGCGACCGGCGCACGGGUGAGUAACGCGUAUCCAACCUUCCCUAUAGUAGAGGAUAGCCCGGCGAAAGUCGGAUUAAUACUCUAUGUUUUCCAAUGCAGACAUCUAAAAUGGAACAAAGGUUUACCGCUAUAGGAUGGGGAUGCGUCUGAUUAGAUAGUCGGCGGGGUAACGGCCCACCGAGUCGACGAUCAGUAGGGGUUCUGAGAGGAAGGUCCCCCACAUUGGAACUGAGACACGGUCCAAACUCUUACGGGAGGCAGCAGUGAGGAAUAUUGGUCAAUGGGCGAGAGCCUGAACCAGCCAAGUAGCGUGCAGGAUGACGGCCCUAUGGGUUGUAAACUGCUUUUAUACAGGGAUAAAGUGACGUACGUGUACGUUAUUGUAGGUACUGUAUGAAUAAGGACCGGCUAAUUCCGUGCCAGCAGCCGC